UUUCUAGAAGCCAUCAACAAGAAGUACAAAAAGUUCUCCAAGAAUAAGAAGAAUGAGCUUCUAAGCACUCUACAUUCCACUAUUUAUGAUGGUGUUAGUGGAAUUAGAGAGCACAUUGACAAGAUUGUGGCCUGUUAUCACAAGAUCAAGGCAAUUGGUAUGGAACUUGAUGAGGAUUACAUUGUGUGGUUCAUUAUGU
RNAcentral lists this long non-coding RNA (199 nucleotides) under Olea europaea (common olive). RNAcentral describes it as "long non-coding RNA (OEUR_LNC007229)". The record is from RNAcentral. Lineage: Eukaryota; Viridiplantae; Streptophyta; Magnoliopsida; Lamiales; Oleaceae.